Ovis aries (sheep) is the source of this 73-nucleotide non-coding RNA. The record is from Rfam. NCBI's taxonomy places the organism in Eukaryota, Metazoa, Chordata, Mammalia, Artiodactyla, Bovidae.
UCCCUGGUGGUCCAGUGGUUAAGACUUGGGGCUGUCACCGCCAGGGCCCCAGGUUCCAUCCCUGGUUGAGGAA